CCCACUCCCUCCCGACUGAAAUAGGUCAUGGACGUGCCUCAGCUCGGUGAUCUCCAUGUUUUUGAAGGUAAGCCAUCUACUCAAUGGCAACUUAAUAAUUCCACGGGUCCCAUAGGAUAUCAAUCGUUUGACUGUCACCCACAAACCAUCUAACUUGAUCCAAGAUUGUUUGAGCCUGAGAAUAAAUCUCCCUCCACACAAAGGAGCUAUAUCA
This 214-nucleotide long non-coding RNA is filed under the name Elaeis guineensis (African oil palm). Its description in RNAcentral is "long non-coding RNA (EGUI_LNC074867)". The record is from RNAcentral. Lineage: Eukaryota; Viridiplantae; Streptophyta; Magnoliopsida; Arecales; Arecaceae.